ACCCUAGCAAACUUCCUUUCAUCCCACCCAACAUCAGCACCGCUUCCGUGAUCUAUGCUUUUGUGAGAGACAAAGUUUGUAUAUCUGUGGACUUUGGAUCGAGCGUCAAGGAAGAUCCACUCAGGGUUCUUAAUGGUGCUGUAUGUGAUCUUGAUAGGAUUUGCUUAAAUGGCGUGUGCGUGGAAUCGAGAUUUCUUAAGGCUCAAUCAACAUCGUGUGCAGAAGCCAAGUGCAACGGGCAUGGAGUGUGCACUUCCCGUGGUGACUGCCAUUGUUCUGAGGGCUUUCAACCUCCCAGCUGUACACCUAAGGAAGGAGGAGACUCAUCUUGGUAUGGCAGGCAAGAAGCAAAUCAGAAGACAACACUCAAACGUACAACAGCAGAUCAAAAUCCGAGGCAAGCAGUGGAUCACCUACGAGCAGUUAACUGCUACCCCUUCAGGAGGAAGAGGAUGGCACCCAGGGGCUCACUGAGAAAUGAAGAGUCCACGGUCUUCCCUUGGUCACAGCUGAAGGAGCUAAUAAACUGAAAGUGGACCAAU
RNAcentral lists this long non-coding RNA (542 nucleotides) under Rattus norvegicus (Norway rat). RNAcentral describes it as "long non-coding RNA NONRATT011609". The record is from RNAcentral. Lineage: Eukaryota; Metazoa; Chordata; Mammalia; Rodentia; Muridae.